GUGUCAGCAGCCGCGGUAAUACGAAGGGUGCAAACGUUGCUCGGAAUCAUUGGGCGUAAAGCGCACGUAGGCGGCUCCAAAAGUCGGAUGUGAAAUCCCUGGGCUCAACCGAGGAAGUGCAUCCGAAACUGCGGAGCUUGAGUAUGGAAGAGGGUCGCGGAAUUCCCGGUGUAGAGGUGAAAUUCGUAGAUAUCGGGAGGAACACCAGUGGCGAAGGCGGCGACCUGGGCCAAUACUGACGCUGAGGUGCGAAAGCGUGGGGAGCAAACAGGAUUAGAUACCCGCGUAGUCC
Molecule: ribosomal RNA, 292 nt
Filed under: uncultured bacterium
Lineage: Bacteria
Description: partial 16S ribosomal RNA
Rfam family: Bacterial small subunit ribosomal RNA
Source: RNAcentral